GAAUAAACUGACUUAUGCCGGCAUAACUUAGAACUGUUAAAUGACUGCAUAAGAUAAUGGCUCAGGAUAUAUACAAGGUGCUUGAAAAAGGGUGAUGGAUUUCGAAAAAUGAAUAGAAAGAAAAUUCAGUGUUCUGUUAUUUACGUAUAUUUGGGAAGACUUGCAAAAUUUUGAAGUUGGUGUAAACCUAGAUAAAUAAAAUAUUGUAUAAUACUA
Molecule: long non-coding RNA, 216 nt
Organism: Stegodyphus dumicola
Lineage: Eukaryota; Metazoa; Arthropoda; Arachnida; Araneae; Eresidae
Source: RefSeq, a predicted model, not a curated record